UACGUAGGGAGCAAGCGUUGUCCGGAAUCAUUGGGCGUAAAGCGCGCGUAGGCGGCCCGAUAAGUCCGCUGUGAAAGUCAACGGCUCAACUGUUGGAUGCCGGUGGAUACUGUCGGGCUAGAGUACGGAAGAGGCAAGUGGAAUUCCUGGUGUAGCGGUGGAAUGCGCAGAUAUCAGGAGGAACACCGGUGGCGAAGGCGGGUCUCUGGGCAGUAACUGACGCUGAGGAGCGAAAGCGUGGGGAGCGAACAGG
RNAcentral lists this ribosomal RNA (253 nucleotides) under uncultured bacterium. Its description in RNAcentral is "partial 16S ribosomal RNA". It matches the Rfam family "Bacterial small subunit ribosomal RNA", at positions 524 to 776 of the family's 1533-position model. The record is from RNAcentral.